RNAcentral lists this ribosomal RNA (439 nucleotides) under uncultured soil bacterium. RNAcentral's name for it is "bacterial SSU rRNA". It matches the Rfam family "Bacterial small subunit ribosomal RNA", at positions 26 to 518 of the family's 1533-position model. The record is from RNAcentral.
AGAAUGAACGCUGGCGGCAUGCCUAACACAUGCAAGUCGAACGAAGGCUUCGGCCUUAGUGGCGCACGGGUGCGUAACGCGUGGGAAUCUGCCCCUUGGUUCGGAAUAACAGUUGGAAACGACUGCUAAUACCGGAUGACGACGUAAGUCCAAAGAUUUAUCGCCGAGGGAUGAGCCCGCGUAGGAUUAGCUAGUUGGUGUGGUAAGAGCGCACCAAGGCACGAUCCUUAGCUGGUCUGAGAGGAUGAUCAGCCACACUGGGACUGAGACACGGCCCAGACUCCUACGGGAGCAGCAGUGGGGAAUAUGGACAAUGGGCGAAAGCCUGAUCCAGCAAUGCCGCGUGAGUGAUGAAGGCCUUAGGGUUGUAAAGCUCUUUACCGGGAUGAUAUGACAGUACGGAGAAUAAGCUCCGGCUAACUCCGUGCCAGCAGCCGAC